UACGGAGGGCGCAAGCGUUGUUCGGAAUUACUGGGCGUAAAGCGCAUGCAGGUGGCUGAGUAAGUCGAAUGUGAAAGCCCCGGGCUCAACCCGGGAACUGCAUCCGAAACUGCUUGGCUAGAGUCCCGGAGAGGAAGGCAGAAUUCCCAAUGUAGGGGUGAAAUCCGUAGAUAUUGGGAGGAAUACCGGUGGCGAAGGCGGCCUUCUGGACGGUGACUGACACUCAGAUGCGAAAGCGUGGGGAGCAAACAGG
This 253-nucleotide ribosomal RNA is filed under the name uncultured bacterium. Its description in RNAcentral is "partial 16S ribosomal RNA". It matches the Rfam family "Bacterial small subunit ribosomal RNA", at positions 524 to 776 of the family's 1533-position model. The record is from RNAcentral.